This is a long non-coding RNA of Oncorhynchus nerka (sockeye salmon), 5146 nucleotides long. RefSeq lists it as uncharacterized. The transcript is spliced from 3 exons. The record is from RefSeq and is a predicted model, not a curated record. Lineage: Eukaryota; Metazoa; Chordata; Actinopteri; Salmoniformes; Salmonidae.
AGCCAAUCAGGUUGUAGCAGUCUGGCUGAAGGUCGUCACUAGUUACCGCAGCCAAAAAGUCAUAAACCAGGCGGCUCGCCGUUAAAGCUAGUUAAGGCGGAAACCGACGCCCUUUGCAGCCUGAAUGGAGGAUGUUUAAUGUACGAGCCGGUCGCCGGGGGUCAUGAGUGUAUAGCAGGCUGCGUACAUUCCAGUUGGAAGCAGAUGGCAAACGACGUAUAAGGAAUACUAACGCCAUCUACCGGCCGGUUGGGAUACCUCAUACUGUAGACAUCUUGGGUUGAUAAUAUGCAGAUAUCUAUAACAUUUCCACUGAACAUUUUCCAGCCUAGAAAAAAUAGCUACACUAUAAAACAUUUUACAGACAGUUUUUAUGCCAGUAAAGUCAACUGUAUAAAAAUAAAUCACGACAGCUGUCAUAUAAAAAGGAAGUUUCGGCACUAUUUUAUAAAUGCCGACGGAUCAUUUGUUGGUUCAAAAUGGUGGGAUGUUUAAAUGCUGGUCAAAUUAAUUAUGCCAGAAAUGGCGCUGGAAACGCCUUUAUGCGCAAAUAUUGAUACAACAACCAUCAUAUCAAAGUAAAUUUGGAGUCACGAGUUUAUAUGCUGUGUUCCUCCCACUACGACUUGGGAAACCAUUCAGUUUAUUAAGCUACAGAUUAAAUAAAUUAUGAAUUUGACUUGGUGAAAAUCCACGGUGAUCUUGACGCUACUUUUCCAAAAAUAUCGAGUGUCCUAUUCUGGUGACAUGAUCGAUGCUUGACAGGCAUUUGACAAAUAAAAAAAAAUCUCGCUCUUUUAUCCAUAAUAAUCAGGGGUUCCCAAAUGUUUUCACUCUGACCCCCCUUCCAGCGCGCGUACGCACAAGCACUGUUCAUGACACAAAUUGUUCACACCCCUCUUGUUGGUGGGGAGAAUAUUGCAGGUUUAUAGCUUCGUUCUUGCAAUUCUACAAAUUGUCAUGUGGUGCGAAGAAAAUUUUGCCUGGCUACCGUUUCCCCAAAUAAGAAGUGAACCUGUAUGAAAUAACUACUGGUAAUGGUGGUGGUUGUUUGGAUUAUGAGAAGGUGAAAAUACAGGCAAAUAAUAUACUGUUUUUAAAGCAAUAAAACCAGUAUAUUAUUUGCCAAUAUUAUUUUCACCGUAUCCAAAAGUUGUCCACGUGAUCAUCGAAUAUGCAAAUGAGUCAUUGUUCUGUUCUGUUCACUAUUUUCAUUCGCAAUAUAGGACUGUUUCGCUCGAAUUAUUGCACAGCUCAUUGCGUUAUUAUAGUACACAUAUUUUCUAGAUAGGUAGGCCUGAAUGAACCAAAAAUGCAAAAAUGUAUCACGAUCAAAUCAAUCAAGCAUGCAACAGCAGCGUCCUUGCAGCACGUUACAAUGUUGCAUAUAACGAUAGCUAUGCACAGGGGUUCGUUCGCUCUAGGGAUUAAAUCUAAAUAGCAACAUUAGCUACAGUACUUACGUGCAAUGUUUCCCUGUAUGAGCUCGAGUGUAGUGUUCGCGGAUGCAGUGCGUGAAGGCGGUAGAUACAGGCCUGCAAAAUGUCUACCCUAGUGGUUCGAGGUUUACCAGAUCUUGAUUCCAAAUGAACUGGAUUAAGUACUUUCACCACAAGGCUGUUCUACUGUUCCGGUGAUCUAGAAGUCAGUCACGCGAGUUUGCUUCAGGUUCGUUGCACCCGGACGUACCGUUUAUAUUGAAUUGUGGGAAAUUAUGUUCUCUUUCUGUGCUUCUGGUCACAGUUAGUAGGCUGUGUUAACAAUUUUAAAGCGGCAAUCUGCGAUUUAAAGCAACACCGCGCCGCUGUUUAGGUAAAUAGCUGAGGGAUGUUUCUAGAGAAAUGUAACCAGUAACCACUCAAAUUCAUUGACAGCUAUGGAUGCAAGGACUUACUUACCAUACACAAUAUACAAAUUAUAGUAUAUACCAUGUUUUGAGGCUAUACAGUGUUUGUUUACAAUUGCAUUGUUUGCAAACAUUGGAGUAAAACAAGAUAAUAUGUUGGUUUCUGAUAGGGUACGACAGUUCAUGAGGCAUUUAUAAAUUCAAUUCUUCAAAAAAAUCUAUGGGUUAUAUUGUAGCGAUGCUCGAUAUACAAUUCCCACAACUGGGGUAACCCUAUUCGUGUGAUGCGCAGGGUGUUUGCCUUUCACACCAGUGACCCGUGUUUGCUUCCCUGUCGUUUGCCCGUUUCCUACAAUAUCAUGAAUUUAAAAGUCCAAAAAGGGAAGUUGCAAAUGCAUAUUGCCCCCUUUAAAAGCCACAUUUACAGUCUUUAUGCUAUUAAAUCAAAUACAUGCAUACAGAAAGCAUUUGUAUUGAUAGUAAAUUUGACAACAGUUCUGAAGAAAAAAAUGCAUACAUUUUAGCAAUCACUAAAAUAUCAAAAUAAUGUAUUAUAUCAAUGCUUGUAAGAGUUGUUUUAGGUUCUGUGAACUAGGCCUAGACACAGUGUAGUAUCUGAUAGGUCUAUAUCCAACUAAUUUCCUUUGCAUCAGGUCAACAUUAAGGGUUCAUUUAUCUCUUGGUUCAUUAUACAGCUGAAGGUUCCAUUUUUGGAAGAAAGGAUGUUAUUGUUGAGAGUAGGUUAAAGGUGACAAGAGAUUUGUAAACAGAAGCAUACAAUUGCUCCACAUUGUGAGGCCCUAAUAUGAAAACAUCCUAUAAAAUCUUCCUUGGCACAAUGUUAAGUACGGGUCAAAGUACGUUGGUAACCUUAGGGGGAGAGAACAUAACAUUUGUGUUUUAUAAUUCCGUUUACAAGUUCCUUGUAAUAUGUCAUUCUGAGCCUCCGGGUUCAACCAAGGGUCAUAUUCACCAGGCACCAAACAGAAAGGAAAAUGGAAUGAAACUUGGAGGGACUACCUGAACUUGUCCAAUAAGAAACCAUUUUUUCAUUUUCCUUUCCAAAACGUUUUGCUAUAGGGUGCACCAAUAAAUUGGACCCAAGAGUCAGCUGACAGCAGGUGCACUCACAGCAGAACUGUACAGUACUGGCCCACAUCUGUUAGGCACACCCAGGACAAGCCACAACAUGUUAGUCACCACUGUUGUAGCUAUUAUGGCCAGGGAUAUAAGGACACUCAGGACAGGAGGGAAAUUAUCUUCAAAUCAGAUCUGAAUCUGGUGCAGAUACAGGACUUUGACACAUAUUAGACAUUAUUUGUUAACCCAUGAAAGUUAGCACAAAGUACCCUAAAAUUAACCUCCAGAAAGGUCAAACUCAAUAUAGUAAGGUCAACUGAUGCUCUGUAAUGUUCAUUAUAGGGUCAACAAUUAUUCCUCAAAUGCACCUGCAUUUCUUAGAAACACUUGCCAUGUUGCACAAUCAAUCUAGCUUUAUUAAUUGUCAUUUGUCACUUCAUCAAUUGACGUAUGUUUCAAUCACAGGUUAACUGUUGGCAGAUGUUCCUGUCCUGUGUUCUAAUUAUGAACUCCCGAUUGUACUUUGAGCAAACCAAUACAUUUUUAUGACUGGUUUAUGUAAGUGUGCAAGCUCUCUUCCAAUCCAAAAAAUAUCAAAUAACAUGUGUCCUAAGCCAGCAUAGUAUUGAUUGCAGGUGUAGUGUACACUUAACAUAUCUGUACACAUAGCGUCACCUAUCACACACUUUAUGGACUGUUGCUUGAUGCUGUGCAAAGUGCACUGGGCCAAUUAACUUUCAAAUGGAGGCCAAGAGAAUAUCCCUAAUUGAAAUGUUCUAUUAUUAUAAGGAUAUAACUGUCUAGUAAUAUAUGCAUCAAUACUUCAGAUAUUUAUGAGGAUCUUUUUAUUCCACAAAAUAGUAUAAAUAGUGUUAUUAUCUCUGGUCCUUAUGAACCUUAACUUGGGUCUUUGGGCACCCAUUGUCAGUGAGGCCCAGUGAGGGCCAAAAAUUAGUUUUUGCCUUUUUUCUAGGCCCACCCCACAAAUGACCAAUUAUAUAAUAUGUAUUACUAAAAAUAGAAUAUACUGUAUGUAUGUAUGUAUCCUAAGCAAUUGCUUUAGGAUGUGGUGAGUCAGUGGUCUGCUCUGUUUGCAAAACAAAAAUAUUUUGCUAUGGUAACCGUUGACUGAAGUUCACUGUACAAAUGGAAUAACAAUAGCACAAUUUGAUUCCAUGCAAACAAGGACAUAUCACUGUGUUCCUUCCAAGGGAAUUAGCCUACAAUGAUAAACAGCUGCCUAUCUGAUUUCAGUUCAAUCUGUAAGGACGUGUCUAACAACAUAGGUUUGAAAAUUACUGUAAAAACAGCAGGUGAUUGGGAGGCGGGACUAGCACAGGUGGGAUCCACAACUUACAUCACCAUCAUUAAGGCUAUAUAAUGGAGUGAACUUCUGACAUUAGCAGAAGACUCUCACUGACUGACAAGCCAUACACAGCUGAACACGUUUGGAUACUCAAGUCUACUCUGUACCACAAGUACAAACAGAACUCUUGAAGAGCUCAACAAAGAAACAGAAAGCAAGCGCAAAUCAACAUGACUGGACAAGAUCUAACUGCCAUUCUGGACUGUGCGCAUCAGCUGCGUAAAGUUGGAGACGUCCUCGCUAGUGACACCCUGGACUGGAGAUCCAAAUUAUUGGAAAUAUUGACAAAACAUUACAAGAAUAUAAUCAAAGUUAAGUGAGGGAGUUCAACCCACUCAGUGAAGAUCACGGAAACAAGAAGAUAGAAUACUAUCUCAGUCCGCAGUUUUAGUAGCUGUGCAGCAGUCCCGCCUGGUCGUUCAGAGGUGCAUUUGCAGCCACCUGAAAUGGAAGUCAAGAAGACAGUCUGCCUGGACCUGCACCACAAUCCAAUAUUCAAUGGCAAAGUGUCCAGUGCUCACCCCCCCCCACCAUGUCAAUGGAGAGUGAAAAGGAUCAGUAACAUUGUGUAAUGGCAAAACCAGUGGACCUCUGCUGGUUUGUCGUUGGGACAUUUGGUAGCCCGAUGGGCAGCCAUUCACAUGGACGUCAAACGCGAACAUCGGAACCAGAGCUGACAGGACUGAUCCUACAAGAAAGUACGAUGACAAAGGAGGAUUAUCAGUUGUUGGGGACAUGUUUUGGAUCAUGGACACAUGACUUUGAAGUGCUCUGAUGCCUUAUGUGAGGAUUACAUUCAUUUUGUUUUAAAUAAUUGUGCCUUGAGCGAUUAAAAGUUUUCAAAAUCUGCAAUA